Pieris brassicae (large cabbage white) is the source of this 318-nucleotide long non-coding RNA. RefSeq lists it as uncharacterized. Lineage: Eukaryota; Metazoa; Arthropoda; Insecta; Lepidoptera; Pieridae. The transcript has 3 exons. The record is from RefSeq and is a predicted model, not a curated record.
CUUCAUCACAUCGGACUCCCCUGAUUGAGAUUCAAAAUGUCAGUACAUCAGUUAAAACUGAGAUGCCAAAUAUGGAAAGCAAUGAGGAGCUUAAAAUGUCGACUGGGCCAUCUACUGUAGUUGCAUCGAAAGGACGACGUUCUACUAUGGAGAGACGCACGACGAAACGGAGAAGAUCUCGCACAAGCACCCCAGAAUCAAACAGACGCUGCGGCCGUUCGACUAAUCCACAAUCAAAGAAUAGGUGUGGAAAUAAUAUGGUUCGAUUAGGAGAGGGAUAUGCCAUGGUCCCUAAGGAUGUCCUAGCGAAUAUUAAGU